GACCGAGGGACGGACCGAGGCUGGCUGGCUCAGGGUAGGAGUGACAGAGCAACGGACAGGUGGGAGCAGUUAGACAGCUUGAGACAGGGAGACUGGAACGCAGAGAGAGGGAGAGAGAGAACGAAAGAGAGAGAGAGUGUGUGAGAAAAAGAGAGAGAGCGUAGCACUCGCGUGCUCCCUCCCUUCCAGACGCCCUCCUCUGUCCGAGGGAAGCAACCGGGACACUGGUGGGAGAGGGAGAGAGAUGCGGGCUCAGAAGACGGGAAGAGGGACCCUGCAUCGCUAGGCGGACCGAGACGCGGAGGGACGGACAGAUUGACUUAUGCACGGACUGACAGCCAGCGAGAGUGGCAGCUCGGAGAGCGGAGCGCAGGAAAGCUAGAAUCCCGCGCUGAGCUGCCAGGCUGAGCCACAGACGGUCAGACAAACAGACGUGCAGAGGGACAGACUGGCAGACAGGAGGUGGGGGCACGUUCACUCCCUGCAGCCAGCCGGGCAGAGAAGGCGGCGGCGGCUCCCCCUGAGCGCGUCCGGAGCUGCGACAAGCAGCAGGGGCAGUAGGGUCGCCAGCCGAAGCCACCACCGUCGCCGCAGCCUUGGCCGCCACAGCCCUGCGAGGAUCCCAGCCGACGCUGCAGAAAGCUCGUUUACCAGCAGUUAAAUAAAUCGACCAAAAAAAAAAAAAAAGCCAAGCCAAACCAAACAAAUCCAGCCAAAUCAAUCAUUGAGAAAUAAUAAUAUUAAUAAAAGCCAAAAACUAAAUCAAAUCAAUCAAGGCACCAAGACGCUGGGGGGAUAUCCACUGUUCGGUCAAGAUACUAGACCUUACAGUACUUGGAAGCUGCUCCCCUGUUGGUCAGGCGUGAAUGCUGUCUGGUCAAAUCAGAAGCCUGUCCCAAAAGUCUGCUACUGGUCUGAGGAGUCUGCUUUUUCAACUACCUUGGGUGAGCAGAGAAGAAUUUGGCUGAGGAAUGUAGAGAAGAUCCCCUCUCCUCACUCUUUCUCUGAUUCAACUUGUGGAACAGACAGGGGAGAACAAGAGUCCAAUCCAAAUCUUAGAAACAGAGAGGCUUCCCUCAGGUUCAGUGCUCACCAGCUCCCUCUUUUGUUGGACUCUGGUGAUGUUCCCACAGAAAUUCUUUUCCUCAGAGAUAGUCAACUCAGUCUGAAAAGAUAGCUGUUGAUUGAGGUUGCAUCACCUUAGGGUCGGCUCCAUUUCUCAAAGAAAUCUCCAGCUUGACUCCAACAUGGUGGUCAAGGUGAGACGUCAGGAACCUUAGAAACUGUCCUUCCCCCAGAUGGGGUAACAUUCCGGCAUGGACCAGAGGUCAUGCAUCCACUUUACAGUAACAGGGCCUUCUGUAGCUCAUUUACUCCCCAGUUGUUUUGUUUUGUUUUUUUGAGGAAGAUUAGCCCUGAGCUAACUACUGCCAGUCCUCCUCUUUUUUGCUGAGGAAGCCUGGCCCUGAGCUAACAUCCAUGCCCAUCUUCCUCUACUUUCUAUGUGGGACGCCUACCACAGCAUGGCAUGCCAAGCAGUGCCAUGUCCGCACCCAGAAUCCCAACCAGCGAACCCCUGGCCACAGAGAAGCGGGAUGUGCAAACUUAACCGCUGCACCACUGGGCCGGCCUCUACUCCCCAGUUUAAAGAUUACUACAGUAUCAAGUAUCAAGUAUGCUUUUUUUGUAUUUUAGUGGGACAUCCAAGGCAACUUUACUGAUGAAAAAUAAUUGCAUGUUUUUGGCUAGCGAUAGUGGAGAUGAUACUCUAUUAAGAUAAAAGAUGUAGUUACUAUGUGGUUUAGUAUCUUUCUUGAAUAAGUACCCAUGAUCAUAAUGUAUGGGUGACUGAAGAGUGAAUGCAUACCAAAUGCAUAGAUUGAAUGAUGCUAUGGGAGGCAGUGGACAGAGCAUGUGAUUUGAGACCAACACUUGAAUAAUACAAGUGUCAUUUCACCUUGGGCAAGGACCUGUCCUUUCUGAACCUCAGGUUUCUUUCCUUCCUUCCUCCUUUUCCUUCUUUUUUUAAUAUGUGUGAAUGAGAUUAGUGGUGGUGAGGAUUAAAAACACAAUGUGUAAAGUGUUCUUUGUGGCAUUUGGCAUGUAAUAUGAUAUAUGAAAACAUGGUAGCUAUUAUUUUAUUUAUUUAUUUAUUUUGUCUGUGAGGCAGAUUGGCCCUGAGCUAACAUCUGUUGCCAAUUUUCCCCUUUUUGCUUGAGGAAGAUUGUAGCUGACCUGGCAUCUCUGCCAACCUUCCUCUAUUUUGUAUGUGAGACCCUGCCACAGCAUGGCUUGAUGAACAGUGUGUAGUUCCAUGCCCGAGAUCCAAACCCCCAAACCCCAGGCCACCAAAGUGGAGUGCAUGAACUUAACCACUACACCACUGGGCUGGCCUCUAUUAUUUUUUUAUAGUAUGUAUUAACUAUACUGUGUUUAAGUUGAAUUAAAUACAAACAAUAAUGGGAAUUUGUGGUUAUCAUUAUCAGGAUACUAAUUUUGUGAUUUACUUAAAAAACUGAUGUGGCAUAUCAAUUUCCUUUGGCUUCAAAGGAUGCUUUCAAUGUUCUUCUCCUGGUGACAUAUCAGUAAAUUUUGUGAGAAAAUAAAGUAAUUUAAAUACGCAUUUAAUUCCAGCAUAACUUAGAGGUAAAUAUAUCUCUAUAAAAUGAAACACUUGAUGUUUUAAGUAGCUGCCUUUUAGACAGGUUCUUUCUGAACUGACCCCUCUCUGGCCCCCAGCCUCUGGUGUGUAUGGCUGGACUUGUGCUGGGCUGAAUUUCAAGAGUGAGUGUACAAAUGUUCCACAGUUUGCAUGGUGAAAGAUGGAGUGCAGGCCAAUCUUCUGCAGCUGGGAAGAGCAAUUAGCAGCUUCAUGAAUUAGGGUCUUGUUUACACUGUUGUCCAAGAUAAUCAUUUGUUUGUUUUAACUAAGAUGCUCUAUCUUCAUCAGAGGCAUCAAUCCUCAUAUUUAAAUGAUAAGGUCUUUGAAGCUCACAAAUAAUGUUUGGAUUUCACAGCAGGAACCCUGUCACAGCCCGUAUUUUCUCUCACUAACUUUGGUAAUCAAGACAUCAGUUACAUAUAUAUUUCAAAUUAUUCUUCAAACAGAUAUGAAAACAUUAUGUGAUCUAUUCUAGCAACUUUUCUGACACAGACAUGUUUUUAAAAAUGCCUUUUAUAUGAAGUCCCAGCACACAUACAUAUAUGCACACACACACGUGGCAAACACGUCCACACACAUAUGUGAAAUAAAACUUUACAAAAUAAGUCAUAGCCUCACCAAGGGUAAUGUACUCUAAUUCUUACCUACUUCAUUCUAGUCCAUUUCAUUCCAGUCCAUUUACUCCACUCCAGUCUAUGUUCUGUUUGUUUCAUUUUAAAAUUCAAGUUACAACCAACAUGAUUUACCAACAGGCCACAACCUAAAGUUUGAAAAACAUUGAUCUACAUAUAAACUUACUUGUGAUUCUGUCUUCUCUCCCAGUAUUUGUAGAAAGGAGUGCAUCUGGCAUUACUGUGUCUUUUUGAUCUUCAGCUAUGUGUGAUCUUAAUACAAUCACUAAAAUAUACAACUCUACUGAGUAAAUGCCAGUUAGUACCCCUUGAAGAGAAUGAUAACAUCUAGUGACUCAGUAAGUACUUAUUGAUGAGUCAGAUAAAUUAUUUUGGAAAUCAUGGGUGUGAGGCAUUGUUGAACUACAUCCAGCUUUCCCAGAAGAUGGACUUCUUGAAUCAGGUAGUCAGUGUAUUCCUAGAUCUGAGUUAUGCUGUUCAUAUAGGCUCAGCACGCAAGGUCAGCUUUUUUUUAAGGCAUAAGCAUUAAGAACGUGUUUUAAAAUAUGAUACUGUUAAUAUAAUAGCAAACAUUUAGUAUUUUAAACAACUGGAAAAUUAAUAUACAUUUUCUAGUUAAGAUGCUUAGUAAACAAUCACAGAAGAUAUUUAUCUUUUUAGAAACAUUUAUUAACUUCCCUUUAAGCUCCUAUACCUUGGGGGUUCCUGGAGGCCCAAAGAUAAGCAAGGCAUAGUCCCUGUCCUUGAGGAUCUCACAACCUGACUCUCAGACAACUUCAGGGCCCUGGGAUAAGUGCUGAAAUGGAGAUGUAUGCCCUGAGGGAUGUGAGUGUGAGCACAGAGGAAGAGUGGACUGUGGGGAGUGGGGAGAGGGCCAGGGAUUUGAUAGGGAAGAGGUCACUUCUGAAUCUCAUUUUGUUGGUUAAUAUAUAGGUUUAAACCAGCGAUCCCCCCCUCACUGCUUUAAUAUAUAUAUUAUAAAAUGAGUUUUUACAAUAUAUAUUGUAAAAUGAGUUUCUCCAUUGAGGAAGCCUUUGGAGAAUGGAGAUGGCUAGGGUGUGGCCCCCACUGGUGGAAGGUCUUCCUGCUUUUUACUAAAAGCACCAUACCAUUCAGGAGUAGCUCAGUCCAGAAACACGUGGGAUAACAAUGAGGCCUGGAUGCAUAAAGAUUCAUGUAAGUUCUUGUAAUAAAAACAUCAGAGAGCUGUUUUGUGACAAGUGUCACAGGUGUGCAUUGCACCAUCUGCUGGCAUAGGGAGAGCAUGAGACACAUUGCCAAGGGACAGAUCAAUGUUCUAGCCCUGACAAGCUUUCCUGGCAUCCUUCUCAGGGAUUCUCAGGUUAUGGCACUUGACUCUCCUUUUCGACAGGGUUCGAUGCAAGAAGUGGUUUAGUAAAUAAUCUGAGAUAUCGCUUCUAAGUUGCUGAAGAUUUUCUUUUUAAUGUUUACAUUUAAAUUUAAAUUGUUCUUUACACUUCCUCUAGGGGGACACAGGGAGCUGAUCUACUCACACACUGAACCAUGUGCAAGAUGACAUCUAUGAAUGGUGGGCCCAGCCACCAGGGGACCACUUGCUCUCCUACAUCUGUUUGUUCUUGGCUUCAGUUUCUGACUCUGGUCUGAUCCUUCUCGAUGUGAGCAGUCAAACUCUGCCUCCAACCCCUCCGCCUGCAAGCAUACCCUAAGUGUACAUGUCCACCUGAACCUUGCUCCUUUGCCCCUUGCCAUUGGCUAUAACCAGUACCCUCCUUUCUGAUCUGUGCACUCCAUGCCUGGAGAAAGGUCUGGAAAGUGAGAGCCAUACUUGGGCUCUGAGGGAGGAUGAGAGAGCGGUUGCUCCCAACCCUUCAGGGUAUGUAACAACAGGUUAAGAUAAUGAGAAACUUCCUUCUUAAAGUUAUCUUCUGGAUGAAUAAUUUUCCAGCUCAAAUGGAGAAUUAUUAACUAUUGACUGAGGACUUUGAGUAAAUGUUUCCUUUCUUUCUUGUAGGAUACCCCUCUCUUCAUCUUAUUGAAUGAGAAGGAGUUUUCUUUGAAUCGUGAAUUAACCUUAUCUAACACUUCCUUGAAAAUUAGUGAACUGCCCAAUAAGAAUUCAUUUAGUAUUCAUUGUUUCACAAACUUGGUAAAAAACAGAGAAGAGAAGUCCUUGCAACGCUAAGUUGAGUAACUCCUCAUUUUUAGGAGAUUGCAAAUUUCUUGAAGUCAGAUGCUGGACUGCAUCAGUCUUUGUAUCUCACACAAUUCCCUGCAGAAUGCCUUGCACCUAGUAGGAGCUGAGUAAAUAAUUGUUUAUCGACUCCACUGAAAUUAACAGGCCUGAUUACACACAUGAGCACACACUCAUGGAUUGUCUGGACAAUUAAAGCCAGGUCCUCCAAGAGGCCAAAUGUUUUACUUUGACCAAUUUAGAUACACAUCUUCUCAGCCUUGUAAAACAUCAAAUACUGAAUCAGAUUUAACGUUCUCUUAUCGAUUCAUUGUCAUAGUAUGAAAAUCAGUUAUUGAGCUGUGCUCAUGAGAAUAAUGAUUCAUGCUGUUAAACUUCAUUCAUGCUGUUAAACGAGGUGAGGCCUGUCCAGAAAUAGAAGUGGUGAAUGAUGGGACAUAAACAGGGAAAGUGAAAGUGACUCUGUGAGUCCUUCUUGGUAAAGUUCAUAGAGUACUGCUCAGCAUAUAGGAACACAAUAGAAGUGUUAGUUGCUAUUAUAGUUGUUUAGGUUGUUAGGUUGCUCCUCUAUUAGAAUCUUUGAAGUCCAAGGCACAUCACUGCAUGGAGUAGCACAGAGAAAUCAGAAGACUUGUAAAUUUCUUUUGGCCAGCUAGAAGAUUUCAAAAAUCAACAGUAUUCAAUUCUAAUUGACCUUAUUAUGUCCUGCUUGGUCCCCAAAAGAGUACUUUAAGUAGAAAAUAAUAAUAAAUAUUUCCUGGGGAGAAAGGGAGGCAUUAUUCUUGCCUUUUAACUUAUAUAACCUUGGGCAAGUUUCUUAACCCCACUGAGCCUCAGUUAUCUAAUCUGUAUAAUGGAAACAGUGACAGCUAACUCAUAGUGAUUGUGAGAGAGUAAAUGAGAUGAUUUGUAUAAGCUGCUUAGCAUUUUAUAGAAAUUAAUAUCUUACCAUGAUACCUUUAACGUCUGCUGUGUAUCAGGCAUGGUGUUCACUGCUGGUGGUUUUGAAAUUACAUUUGGGGUUGUAAUUUUCAGAGAUGCCUGCAGGUAGACAUACUUUCAGUUUGAGAUUAGAGGAUUAUGUCACCUAUUAGAAACCGCUGUGAAGUUGAGGUAAAAAACAGCAUCAGAUUUCAUGUAUAGGUGAGAAUUCACAACUUUGGAGAGAGUCAAAGAUACUUUUUUAAGUGACCAGAAUUAUAUAUGUGGUGAUAUGAAAACUAGUAACUCAGAAGCAUGCAUUUGCAUACAAGUACAUAUUGUAUGUACAAGUUUUAAUAUCUUUUUAAAUAUUGCAAGGUUUGGGUGAGGAAUGAGGUGUCGGGGUUAGAGGAGGUGACUUAGAGGAGCUAAGGAGUGUUUUAAGCCAACCAGUGAUUCUUCACCUGGGUUUUAUUACCACCAAAAUGCAACUGCAACCUUCCGAACGGAUGCUGCAAGUAGGGUUCCGGGAAGCUGACCCUGGAGUUCAGUGUACGGGAUGUUUACUGUUCUUGGAACCAACACCAUGGGGAGGGAGGGAAGGGAGCAGGAGUGGGCAGAGGGAGAAGGUAAACCACAGCUCAGGCCAAAGCAUGAGAACAGCCUUGGUCAGCUCCAUGGGCUGCUCUGCAGCUGGAAUGGCCUUCAGACUGUCUUGCUAGGGUUGAGAUGGCCAAGACUUUUACUCCCACUUCAAUCAGUUGUUGAAUGUGGACUACCCUAGGAAUGAGGAUGGCUUUGGGUGACUCAGCUCUCUGCAGCUGAAAUGAUCCCUCAAGAGGUACCAAGUCCUUCUAGAAGGGGGAUCUGUGUCUACUACUGAGAUUGACCAGAAAGGUAAAAAAUUAACAUCAUGAUACCCUAGCGCAAGUGUAUCUCAAAUCCUAUCCCACUGUUGGAUAAAAAUUGUCUUGCCUCACUCCUGGGGAGAAAAGCUUUACUUGAUGUGGGUCGGUUUUUUCAAAGAAGCUGCAGUCUCAAAGAGGUUUUCAAACCUCUCUCAGUCUCCCUGGAAAUAAUAGUCCAUCAUCAACAAAUCAGAGUCUCUCCCAUCUGGACUGAAGCCCAGUUUUGGUGCAUAGUAUUUGUAUCUAAGAUGAUUUAAUCCCAGAGAAAAUGUUAUGCAUUAAACUUUUUAUUAUGGAAUUUUCAAAACAUGCACAAAAUACAGAUAACUGAGUAACAAACCCCCAGGUACGCAUCACGGCAUGUCAAUAUUUUGCCCUCCUCAUUCCGGAGGAAGUUUUAAUAGCAUAAAGCAUCGCCUCCUGUGUUGAUCUGAGAUAGAUCCGGACGGAUGUGUCCUCAGAGUAGGGUGAGAUUUCACAAUGUUUGAAGUCAUGAAUGUCUCUUAAUAGCACUGACGUGAGUGCUGUUGAAGCUAUCAGAGCCGUGCUUCUGGGAAGCAGUGUACCUACCCCCACGGACCUUCAGAGCAGUGCCGAGCCAUCCACUCACAUUUCCACUGUCCUGGCUCUGUAGUUUGGCUGUGGGAAUUGUAUUUGAACCUGGAAUGUGUGUCGAUGCUUGAGGCUGUCUCAAUAUUCCGUAGCACCCAAUAAGGCCAUGCUGUGGGUCAGGCCAAGAAAGGUGCAGGACAGUUCACGUGUUUGCUUCAUUUUCGUAAUUAUAUUGUGCUGAGGGGCCUCCUGGAAAUUGGUGGACGUGGAAGUGACCUGCCAGCCUCCUGUGCUCUCAGCAAUAUUUCAGCCCAACAUAAAACCCAAAUCAAAAUUUCUGUUUAGGAAAGGAAUAUCUUAAGGAAAUUCUACAGAGAGUUUCAAAAGCAAUGUUGGGGAUCUUAUUAGAACCCUGUGACGUGAAUAUCCAAACCAUUUCUGACUCCUUUGCAAGUUGAGGUCACCAGGUAGGUCUGCCUAAGCAUUCAGGAUCAUGUCCCAACCCCGUUAGGCCCUGCCUUUGCCAGGAUCUGUCCUGAGAAGAACAGCCCUGGCAUGCCAAGGAGUGAAUCAGCAGUCCACUUUGCUCCUGCGAAUCGAGCAGGAAUUUGUUGGUUGUUUGGCCCCAGAGCAGGUGGCGGUGGGGGUUGUGGCGGUUGCAUUUCCUCUUUGAGGUGGGGGCUCAGCUGUUUCCUUGGUCACCCGCCCCUAGUAAGUGCUUGGAGGAGGCAGGAGGCCAAGAAUACAGCUGAGACUUGAGCUGCAGCCAACUUCCAGCAGCUGCUACUCUGUUCUCUGAGCUGGAACCAACUCCAGGCUGCAAUGUGGCCUGAUCUGGCAUUUGGGGAGGGGCCUGAGAGGAGUGUCACUUGUACAUUCUGAGUGACUUAACCCACCUGCUAUUUGUGUGUGUGUAUGUGGCCUAAUUUAAGUGACACUUCUCCGACAUUCAAAUUACAUGAGCAAUUUUAGGUCAGUGAAAAAGGCAAAAGACUUAUAGUCUUUUAGGGUCAACGGAUUUGCAGAUCUUAAAGGAAUUAUUUUGAAAGAUAAAGCAGAGAGUACCAUCCUAACUCAGAAUGUGUGUCUUUGAUAUGAGCAUAUUUUGGUUUAUAUUCUUGUCUCUCUACAAUAUGGACAAAAGCAUCUUGGAAAGGAUGCUGGACUAACAGCAAGAAGAACCUAGUUGUGUGGCCUUUACAAAGAUAGAUAUGUGAUUUUGGACAUUGUCGUUGCCCUUGGCCUAAGUUUUUUGUUUAUUUGUUUAUUCAUUUAAUAAGCUAACUGAAGAAAAGAAAUCUCGUAUAUCAGAUUAUGGGAGCUUAAGUUUUGGGGAUGUAAAGAAGUUGAAGUAAGGGGAAAGUUCUGGGCAAAUGCUAUAUGUGGGCCCCCUAAAAGAAUGUACAGAAUCAAAGCAUGUACUUAGAUAACACGCACACGCAGAUCUAUGUAUCUAUUUCUACAUAGCAAUAGUUGAGAGGUCUUUUCAAACGGCCUAAUAUAGAGUUGUUUUAUGUAAUGUAAAUGUAUCAUUUGGUGAGAAGAGAUCUUAAAUAUUCAGGAGUUAGUUAUUUUCUUUAUUGGAGAUACAUGAAAAAAAUUCUCUGGGUAAACGUCACAUGAGUUCUCGAAACUAUCCCCCUAUGUAAAAGCAAUAUUGUUGAUAAAGAGCCACUUAAUGAACUCUACCCAAUUUUUUAAACAAUUAAUUCAACUUCCGCCACAAGACUGGGUACCCCUUGAGAGGGGGCUGUAUUCUCGUCAUUUUGCACCCCCUGUCCUAGUAAGAUGUUUAUCAAGGGCAUGUCGAACAAAUGAAAGCUAUUCAAUUUUUCCUGUUAUGGUUUUGAAAGGAAAAAUGAUGAUUCUGUGUGUUAUUGUGAUUUAAAAAACAUCCAGAUCCUUGCUCAUAGUGUAACAGCUCAACUGAUCUUUGCCUGUCUUCUCAGAACCUUGGCUCCAACCUUGCCCCUCAGAGAACAGUGGCAGCAGGCGGGAGCUGUUUAAAAGUGAAAAUUUAUAUGGGGCCUGCUCAGUAAAAGGGACUAGUAGAUAGUACAUAUGGAGAACGCUGUCAGUGAUUACAGAUGUCACUCAUGUACCCUUCCCUGGAUCCAAACCUAUGAAGCAGAAGGGAAUCACAUUUCUUUUAAGGAAGUUAUAGGGUCUCCCUAAAACCUAUUAAUUUCCCCUAAAACUUUUCGGUUGAUUCCUUACAGAAGGAAGUAAGCUUAGAACAGAAUAUUCAAGGCAGUGGCUCUAUAUAAAACUAUUCUUGAAUUUUUAAGAAAUUUUAGCCCAGUCUGACUUUUAAUUGUUCUUGACUUUGCUUUUAAUACGUUUAAGUUGUUUUGAUUUUGAUGUUUAUUCCAAGCACAAC
This is a long non-coding RNA of Equus asinus (donkey), 10228 nucleotides long. NCBI's taxonomy places the organism in Eukaryota, Metazoa, Chordata, Mammalia, Perissodactyla, Equidae. The record is from Ensembl.